This 422-nucleotide ribosomal RNA is filed under the name Clostridioides difficile. Its description in RNAcentral is "partial 23S ribosomal RNA". It matches the Rfam family "Bacterial large subunit ribosomal RNA", at positions 440 to 863 of the family's 2925-position model. Lineage: Bacteria; Bacillati; Bacillota; Clostridia; Peptostreptococcales; Peptostreptococcaceae. The record is from RNAcentral.
GAAGCAGGAGGGACCACCCUCCAAGGCUAAAUACUACCUAGUGACCGAUAGCGUAUAGUACCGUGAGGGAAAGGUGAAAAGAACCCCGGGAGGGGAGUGAAAUAGAACCUGAAACCCUGCACUUACAAGCUGUGGAAGCACAUUUCUUGUGUGACCGCGUACUUUUUGUAGAACGGGCCAACGAGUUACGUUAAGUAGCAAGGUUAAGCACUUAAGGUGUGGAGCCGUAGCGAAAGCGAGUUUUAACUGAGCGUUCAGUUACUUGACGUAGACCCGAAACCGGGCGACCUACCCAUGAGCAGGAUGAAGCGAAAGUAAAAUUUCGUGGAGGUCCGAACCCACGAGCGUUGAAAAGCUCGGGGAUGACUUGUGGGUAGCGGUGAAAUUCCAAUCGAGCCCGGAGAUAGCUGGUUCUCCCCGAA